Molecule: long non-coding RNA, 483 nt
Filed under: Gallus gallus (chicken)
Lineage: Eukaryota; Metazoa; Chordata; Aves; Galliformes; Phasianidae
Description: long non-coding RNA NONGGAT007240
Source: RNAcentral
AAAACAUAGGAAACAGCACCAAGAGAAACUGCUGAGGACCAUGGAUGGGAUGCUGCAGCACAACAUCACAGUGGGGAUCUCAUCCUGCAUUUCUUUCUGGCCAGUACAUAUAUUUUGUUCUUGUCAACAUUGCUACAUUAAUUAAUUUCUUCUUCACACACUGUACCAUCUCCAAGGAUCUAUUUGUUAAAUGUAUAUGCAUUAAAUUUCAUUUCAGACUCUCUUUCAUCAGUGUGAAGUGGAAGUGAAGACAGCCAAAGUCUUGGGUCUCAUCUUGCUGCUCUCAGAUCCUUGGCCAAUGGCACUCUGGAUAGUUCCAUCUACAGCAAAUCUUACGGUGCAACACCCGCAGUUCAUGCACUGGUGUAGAACUUCCCAGUAUCUUUGAACCUCUGGGUGAGGCCAGUGGCAUCUGAAUGAGAAAUGGAAGCCUCAGAAUGACAUGGGAUGUUCAUCAGGAUUUGGUGCCUCUGUAAAAAACCG